Molecule: unclassified non-coding RNA, 914 nt
Filed under: Hevea brasiliensis (rubber tree)
Lineage: Eukaryota; Viridiplantae; Streptophyta; Magnoliopsida; Malpighiales; Euphorbiaceae
Source: RNAcentral
AAAAAAAAAAAAGCUUUAUGGUCCUAUUCUAGGGACGAGUAGAAAAAAGAUACUGUUCAGAGUACCACUUGCAUUGCUCCUUCAACAUUCAUCUGAUAAAUGGUACUACAAGUGAAGUAAAUGAUGCAAGGAUAUGCAAGAAUGGAUGAAAAAUCCACAAUGAGGUCUAAAUCCUAACAUUCACUCCCAAUCAUAGGCAAUUGCAAUUAUAAUCACUAGGAUGACUAUUGAAUAUUGGAAAAAAAAAAAAACUCAAAACCUUUCCAACAAAAGCAAUCAGCAGCAUUAUUUUUCUGAUCAUGAAACAUGCAAUGCACAGUUUGAAGUGGGAGAGCAGUAAAUGAAAUUAAACUAUUUUGAAUAAAUUAAUAAUAAUAAGAACAACCAUUUGUGUUUCUGCGGUAUGAAAAGAAUAACUUCUGUUUAAAUCAAUCCCACUGUAUUGGAGGGCUGCAAACAAACGACACUGUGUAUCUGCCUAAUAAAUAAUCUCAUCACCAUGCAGGACCUGGAACAUUUUUAAAGUUUUGGAAAGACUUUGACUCAUUGCAUUGUCGCCACCUACUUGCAGUUCUGUUCUUCCAAGUACAUAUCAAUUAAUUAAUUAAUUGAUUAAUUAAUUAAUUAAUAUAUACGGCGUAUGAUUUUUAAAUGUAUUUAAUUAUUCUGUGUGCAAAACAACAAAAACAUUCCUAAAAUUUUCUUAUAUGAAAAUUUACACGUGGCGAAGACCGACGGAGCCGUCAAGCACAGUCAGGUGAGAAGCAGAAAUCUUUUGACUAAACGCCACAACGCAAACAAUCAAUCAGCCACGUGUAAAAGAAAACCGCUAACUACCCAAACAAAAUGCGGAAACACCAACACGUACCUGGUGGAACCCUUGUUCUCUGGUGAGCGGCACACCGAUCUCACUG